RNAcentral lists this ribosomal RNA (149 nucleotides) under Monosporascus cannonballus. RNAcentral's name for it is "partial 28S ribosomal RNA". Lineage: Eukaryota; Fungi; Ascomycota; Sordariomycetes; Xylariales. The record is from RNAcentral.
UAAAAUUAUUGGCGGAGUCGCGGUGACCCCAAGCGCAGUAAUUCUUUUUCUCGCUUUAGGUGUUAACGCUGGCUUCUGGCCACUAAACCCCCCCUAUUCCUAAUGGUUGACCUCGGAUCAGGUAGGACUACCCGCUGAACUUAAGCAUA